This 505-nucleotide ribosomal RNA is filed under the name uncultured bacterium. RNAcentral describes it as "partial 16S ribosomal RNA". It matches the Rfam family "Bacterial small subunit ribosomal RNA", at positions 28 to 507 of the family's 1533-position model. The record is from RNAcentral.
GACGAACGCUGGCGGCAUGCCUAAUACAUGCAAGUAGAACGCCCACUUUAUAGCGUAGAUUGCUACACCAUUGACUGUGAGUUGCGAACGGGUGAGUAACGCGUAGGUAACCUGCCUGGUAGCGGGCGAUAACUAGUGUAAACGAUAGCUAAUACCGCAUAUUAUUAAUUAUUGCCUGAUAGUUAAUUGAAAGGUGCAAUUGCACCACUACCAGAUGGACCUGCGUUGUAUUAGCUAGUAGGUGAGGUAACGGCUCACCUAGGCGACGAUACAUAGCCGAGCUGAGAGGGUGAUCGGCCACACUGGGACUGAGACACGGCCCAGACUCCUACGGGAGGCAGCAGUAGGGAAUCUUCGGCAAUGGACGAAAGUCUGACCGCACAACGCCGCGUGAGUGAAGAAGGUCUUCGGAUCGUAAAGGUCUGUUGUAAGGGAAGAACGGGUGUGGGUGUGGUACGGUCAGGCUGUGACGGUAUCGUACGAAAAAGGGACGGCUAACUACGUG